AGUGAACGCUGGCGGUAGGCCUAACACAUGCAAGUCGAACGGCAGCACAGUAAGAGCUUGCUCUUACGGGUGGCGAGUGGCGGACGGGUGAGGAAUACAUCGGAAUCUACUUUUUCGUGGGGGAUAACGUAGGGAAACUUACGCUAAUACCGCAUACGACCUACGGGUGAAAGCUGGGGAUCUUCGGACCUUGCGCGAUUGAAUGAGCCGAUGUCGGAUUAGCUAGUUGGCGGGGUAAAGGCCCACCAAGGCGACGAUCCGUAGCUGGUCUGAGAGGAUGAUCAGCCACACUGGAACUGAGACACGGUCCAGACUCCUACGGGAGGCAGCAGUGGGGAAUAUUGGACAAUGGGCGCAAGCCUGAUCCAGCCAUACCGCGUGGGUGAAGAAGGCCUUCGGGUUGCAAAGCCCUUUUGUUGGGAAAGAAAAGCAGCAGGUUAAUACCCCGCUGUUCUGACGGUACCCAAAGAAUAAGCACCGGCUAACUUCGUG
Molecule: ribosomal RNA, 492 nt
Filed under: uncultured bacterium
Lineage: Bacteria
Description: partial 16S ribosomal RNA
Rfam family: Bacterial small subunit ribosomal RNA
Source: RNAcentral